RNAcentral lists this small RNA (337 nucleotides) under Arabidopsis thaliana (thale cress). Its description in RNAcentral is "ATSL048430". The record is from RNAcentral. Lineage: Eukaryota; Viridiplantae; Streptophyta; Magnoliopsida; Brassicales; Brassicaceae.
GUUCUUGAGCCGUUACAACCAGAAGCCACAGUAGCAACCCUUCCUAGGAUCCAAGAGGAUGCAAUUUCUUGCAAGAACACCAGUGAAGCAUUGCAGAUUGCUCUACAAACAUCCACAAUUUUUCCUUCAAUGGCCAAUCCUGGACAGACAUUGAAGACGGUAGAAGCGGUUUCAGUGGUUGGAUUACCAUUGAAUAGAGUAGAAGUGUGUAUGGGAGGGAAGUGUAAGAGAUCAGGAGGAGCUUUGUUGUUGGAUGAGUUUCAAAGGGCGAUGACGGGUUUCGAAGGAUCUGCUGUGGCUUGCAAGUGCAUGGGGAAGUGUCGUGAUGGCCCAAACG